This 604-nucleotide non-coding RNA is filed under the name Pan troglodytes (chimpanzee). Lineage: Eukaryota; Metazoa; Chordata; Mammalia; Primates; Hominidae. The record is from RNAcentral.
GCCUUCUUCAUGUAUCUCCUCUCGGAGCAUCAUUCCCUGACCUUCCUUUCUAGGGCUCUGAAUCCACCCCAUUGCUGUCUAUCCAGUCAGUCUCUCUUUUCUAGCUGGCAUCCAUCACAAGCAAUCUGCUUAUCUUGUUUUUGUCUAUCUUUGUUGAGUUUUGGUAUUGAUUUUAUGUGUCAGUACCUGAGAAGGAGAGAAGUCCUUGAGUUGUUUCGUAAAUGUGGCUCAAGUGAGAUGCUGAACAGUGCCAGCCAUGUGGACUCUGCCACAGUGAAGGAGGAAGGCAGCACUGAGAAGUGAAGGAAUAUUUGGGAGGAUCAGAAGCUUGGUCCUGAUUUUGCCAUCAACAGGAACUUGAUGACUUCAAGGGAGUCCCCAAACCCUGGGUUUCUGUUUUCUCAACUCUAACAUGAGGGGCUAGAUGCAUCUGGUUUAGUUAGUCUCCAUGAUGGUUUAGUUCGUCUCCAUGAUCCUGUGAAUUUCAGAUGUUGAAAAUCUUUGGAAAAGCCCUGAAAGAUGAACAGUGGUCUCAAAUAGUCAAGACCCCCUGCUGGGAGGAGCUAUCCUGCUCUUUGGAAGAAAUGGGCAUGCCAGAUGCCUG